UCUCCGUUGGUGAACCAGCGGAGGGAUCAUUACAGAGUUCUAAAAGACUCCCACAACCACUGUGAACGUACCCGUCAGCGUUGCCUCGGCGGGCGGCCCCUCCCUGGGGCCGCUGCCUCCCUCGCGGGGGGUGCCCGCCGGCGUACGAAAACUAUCCUGUAUUUUAGUGGCCUCUCUGAGAAAACAAGCAAAUAAGUUAAAACUUUCAACAACGGAUCUCUUGGUUCUG
This 229-nucleotide unclassified non-coding RNA is filed under the name plant metagenome. RNAcentral describes it as "partial contains small subunit ribosomal RNA, internal transcribed spacer 1, and 5.8S ribosomal RNA". The record is from RNAcentral.